UCGUGUCGUGAGAUGUUGGGUUAAGUCCCGUAACGAGCGCAACCCUUGUCCUUAGUUACCAGCACCUCGGGUGGGCACUCUAAGGAGACUGCCGGUGACAAACCGGAGGAAGGUGGGGAUGACGUCAAGUCAUCAUGGCCCUUACGGCCAGGGCUACACACGUGCUACAAUGGUCGGUACAAAGGGUUGCCAAGCCGCGAGGUGGAGCUAAUCCCAUAAAACCGAUCGUAGUCCGGAUCGCAGUCUGCAACUCGACUGCGUGAAGUCGGAAUCGCUAGUAAUCGUGAAUCAGAAUGUCACGGUGAAUACGUUCCCGGGCCUUGUACACACCGCCCGUCACACCAUGGGAGUGGGUUGCUCCAGAAGUAGCUAGUCUAACCGCAAGGGGGACGGUUACCACGGAGUGAUUCAUGACUGGGGUGAAGUCGUAACAAGGUAGCCGUAGGGGAACCUGCGGCUGGAUCACCUCCUUAA
Molecule: ribosomal RNA, 474 nt
Filed under: Pseudomonas aeruginosa
Lineage: Bacteria; Pseudomonadati; Pseudomonadota; Gammaproteobacteria; Pseudomonadales; Pseudomonadaceae
Description: bacterial SSU rRNA
Rfam family: Bacterial small subunit ribosomal RNA
Source: RNAcentral